ACACACACACAUACACACUAUUAAUAUAUAUAUAUAUACCCUCUACUGACCAUGUCAUGUAUUGUAUUAUAUAUAUAUAUAUAUAUAAUUGAAUCUUCUGACAAAACCAGAAACAGUGGGUAAGAUUCCAAAUUUCUGUCUUGCAUUUAGAACACAAAGGAUCGAGAACACAGAGGAGCGAAGAGAAUACAGAGGAGCGAGGAGGACACUGAGGAGCGAGGUGAGGAGCGAGGAAGACACUGAGAAGCGAGGUGAGGAGCGAGGAGGACACUGAGGAGUGAGGUGAGGAGCGAGGUGAGGAGCGAGGAGGACACUGAGGAGCGAGGAGAACAUUGAGGAGCGAGGUGAGGAGCGAGGAGGACACUGAGGAGCAAGGAGGACACUGAGGAGCGAGGAGGACACUGAGGAGUGAGGUGAGGAGCGAGGAGGACACUGAGGAGUGAGGUGAGGAGCGAGGAGGACACUGAGGAGUGAGGUGAGGAGCGAGGAGACACUGAGGAGGACACUGAGGAGCGAGGAGGACACUGAGGAGUGAG
This is a long non-coding RNA of Ictalurus punctatus (channel catfish), 536 nucleotides long. NCBI's taxonomy places the organism in Eukaryota, Metazoa, Chordata, Actinopteri, Siluriformes, Ictaluridae. The record is from Ensembl.